RNAcentral lists this non-coding RNA (107 nucleotides) under pig gut metagenome. RNAcentral describes it as "FMN riboswitch (RFN element)". It matches the Rfam family "FMN riboswitch aptamer (RFN element)". Rfam says of the family: The RFN element is a highly conserved domain that is found frequently in the 5'-untranslated regions of prokaryotic mRNAs that encode for flavin mononucleotide (FMN) biosynthesis and transport proteins. This element is a metabolite-dependent riboswitch that directly binds FMN in the absence of proteins. The record is from RNAcentral.
AUCUUCAGGGCAGGGUGCAAUUCCCGACCGGCGGUAAAGUCCGCGAGCCUUUUGGCUGAGCCGUUGCGACUACGGCACCGACAGUAUAGUCUGGAUGGAAGAAGACA